RNAcentral lists this ribosomal RNA (253 nucleotides) under uncultured bacterium. RNAcentral's name for it is "partial 16S ribosomal RNA". It matches the Rfam family "Bacterial small subunit ribosomal RNA", at positions 524 to 776 of the family's 1533-position model. The record is from RNAcentral.
UACGGAGGAUGCAAGCGUUAUCCGGAAUGAUUGGGCGUAAAGGGUCCGCAGGUGGCAGUGUAAGUCUGCUGUCAAAGAAUGAGGCUUAACCUUAUCAAGGCAGUGGAAACUACACAGCUAGAGUACGGUCGGGGUAGAAGGAAUUCCUGGUGUAGCGGUGAAAUGCGUAGAGAUCAGGAAGAACACCGGUGGCGAAAGCGCUCUGCUAGGCCGCAACUGACACUGAGGGACGAAAGCUAGGGGAGCGAAUGGG